GAGAUAGCUGGUUCUCCCCGAAAUAGCUUUAGGGCUAGCCUCAAGUGGUGAUUACAGGCGGUAGAGCACUGAUCAGGAGCGGGACCUACCCGGUUACCAAACCCAGUCAAACUCCGAAUGGCUGUAAUCAAACUUGGGAGUCAGACUACGACUUAUAAGGGCCGUGGUCAAGAGGGAAACAGCCCAGAUCAUCAGCUAAGGUCCCAAAUGCCGUGCUAAGUGGCGAAGGAUGUGGCGUUUCAUAAACAACCAGGAUGUUGGCUUAGAAGCAGCCAUCAUUUAAAGAGUGCGUAAUAGCCCACUGGUCGAGAGACGCUGCGCCGAAGAUGUCCGGGGCUCAAGCACGGAACCGAAGCUAUGGCAGACGCAAGCCGUCUGGGUAGGGGAGCGUUCUUAUUGGGGAGAAGCGAUACCGGAAGGAGUCGUGGACUGAUAAGAAGUGAGAAUGCUGGUAUGAGUAUCGAAAAGAAAGGUGAGAAUCCUUUCCACCGAAAGCCCGAGGGUUCCUGAGCAACGAUCGUCGUCUCAGGGUAAGUCGGGACCUAAGCCGAGGCAAGAAGCAUAGGCGAUGGACAACAGGUUGAAAUUCCUGUACCGGAAGAGUCUGAUUGAGUGAAGGAGUGACGCAGAAGGGCACACAAGCAUGCGAGUGGAAGAGCAUGUCUAAGUGCGUAGCCUGUAUGAUAGGAAAAACCGUCAUACGAGAAGGGUGAGACAUGAAGGGGAGUUAAAGGAGACUUUAAUGAACUUGUGAAUCCCAUGCUGCCAAGAAAAGCUUCUAGCGAGGACUCGUCCGCCCGUACCGUAAACCGACACAGGUAGGCGGGGAGAGAAUCCUAAGGUGCGCGGGAAAACCCUCGUUAAGGAACUCGGCAAAUUGCAUCCGUAACUUCGGAAGAAGGAUGGCCCUUGGUAGGCGAAGAGUCAAGCACUUGGAACCGAGAAGGGUGGCAGAAAAGAGGCCCAAGCAACUGUUUACCAAAAACACAGGUGCCUGCGAAAGCGAAAGCUGAAGUAUAGGUGCUGACGCCUGCCCGGUGCUGGAAGGUUAAGGAGAGAGGUCAGCUAAGGCGAAGCUUUGAACUGAAGCCCCAGUGAACGGCGGCCGUAACUAUAACGGUCCUAAGGUAGCGAAAUUCCUUGUCGGGUAAGUUCCGACCCGCAUGAAAGGCGUAAUGAUUUGGGCACUGUCUCAACGAGGGGCCCGGUGAAAUUGAAAUACCUGUGAAGAUGCAGGUUACCCGCGACUGGACAGAAAGACCCCAUGGAGCUUUACUGCAGCUUGAGAUGGAAUCUCGGAAGUAGAUGCACAGGAUAGGUGGGAGACAAAGAAGUAUGUACUUAGGUAUGUAUGGAGUCGAUGUUGGGAUACCACCCUUCUAGUUCUGGGAUUCUAACGCCAGGAGUAACGACCCUGCGGACAAUCUCAGGUAGGCAGUUUGACUGGGGCGGUCGCCUCCGAAAGAGUAACGGAGGCGCCCAAAGGUUCCCUCAGGUCGGACAGAAACCGACCGACGAGUGCAAAGGCAGAAGGGAGCUUGACUGCGAGACCAACAAGUCGAGCAGAGACGAAAGUCGGGCUUAGUGAUCCGGUGGUACUGUGUGGAAAGGCCAUCGCUCAACGGAUAAAAGCUACCCUGGGGAUAACAGGCU
Molecule: ribosomal RNA, 1653 nt
Filed under: human gut metagenome
Description: bacterial LSU rRNA
Rfam family: Bacterial large subunit ribosomal RNA
Source: RNAcentral